CGCCACGCAGCAUGGUGACGGGAAUUGGGAAGAUGUUCAUCAGGGCGGUAGGAAGAUCAGAUUACCAUGACGGGGGAUACGUAAUGUGCGGGGGAGCAAAGGGGAGGGUAAAAGGGAGAUGGAUACACANGUGGCGCACGGCCGGAAAAGACGGGGGACAACUUUCGGGCGAGUUUUUCCUAUAGGUUGCCAGUUAACGCGUUGAUUACUCCUCUUGGCGAGUCUGGCUCGAAAGGUCGGAACUUAAAACAACCGCCGGGGGCCGCCACAACCGUUGGAGCAUGUGUUUAAUUCGAAGCAACGGGAAGAACGUUCCCAGGUCUUGCAAUCCUUUGACAUUCUUAGAGAUAGGACGUUCCCUUUCGGGGGACAGAGUGACAGGUGGUGCAUGGUUGUUGUCAGCUAGUGUCGUGAGAUGUUGGGUUAAGUCCCGCAACGAGCGCAACCCUUGAUCUUAGUUGCCAGCAUUCAGUUGGGCACUCUAAGGUGACUGCCGCUGACAAACCGGAGGAAGGUGGGGAUGACGUCAAAUCGUCAUGCCCCUUAUGACCUGGGCUACACACGUGCUACAAUGGAUGGUACAAAGGGCUGCAAGACCGCGAGGUUUAGCCAAUCCCAUAAACCCAUUCUCAGUUCGGAUUGCAGGCUGCAACUCGCUUGCAUGAAGCCGGAAUCGCUAGUAAUCAGCGGAUCAGCAUGCCGCGGUGAAUACGUUCCCGGGCCUUGUACACACCGCCCGUCACACCACGAGAGUUUGUAACACCCGAAGUCGGUGGGGUAACCGUAAGGAGCCAGCCGCAUAAGCUGGGACAGAUUGAUUGGGGCGAAGUCGGAACAAGGUAAAUGCCCAAGCCAUGGCGCCCCGGAGAAUGUGGCUAGUGGGGCCACUUUGCCCUAUAGGAGUCCCACAUGAGAUCUUA
RNAcentral lists this ribosomal RNA (920 nucleotides) under uncultured Caryophanales bacterium. RNAcentral's name for it is "bacterial SSU rRNA". The stretch from base 216 to 846 matches the Rfam family "Bacterial small subunit ribosomal RNA", at positions 874 to 1520 of the family's 1533-position model. The record is from RNAcentral. Lineage: Bacteria; Bacillati; Bacillota; Bacilli; Caryophanales.